RNAcentral lists this ribosomal RNA (253 nucleotides) under uncultured prokaryote. RNAcentral's name for it is "partial 16S ribosomal RNA". It matches the Rfam family "Bacterial small subunit ribosomal RNA", at positions 524 to 776 of the family's 1533-position model. The record is from RNAcentral.
CACGUAGGGCGCGAGCGUUGUCCGGAAUUAUUGGGCGUAAAGAGCUCGUAGGCGGUCUGCUACGUCCGCUGUGAAAACCUAGGGCUUAACCCUGGGCUUGCAGUAGAUACGGGCAGACUAGAGGUAGGUAGGGGAGAAUGGAAUUCCCGGUGUAGCGGUGAAAUGCGUAGAUAUCUGCAGGAACACCCGUGGCGAAAGCGGCGCGCUGGACCACAACUGACGCUGAGGAACGAAAGCUAGGGGAGCAAACAGG